Molecule: ribosomal RNA, 252 nt
Filed under: uncultured bacterium
Lineage: Bacteria
Description: partial 16S ribosomal RNA
Rfam family: Bacterial small subunit ribosomal RNA
Source: RNAcentral
UACGUAGGGUGCGAGCGUUGUCCGGAAUUACUGGGCGUAAAGAGCUCGUAGGCGGCUUGUCGCGUCGACUGUGAAAACUCGGGCUCAACUCCGAGCUUGCAGUCGAUACGGGCAGGCUAGAGUUCGGUAGGGGAGACUGGAAUUCCUGGUGUAGCGGUGAAAUGCGCAGAUAUCAGGAGGAACACCGAUGGCGAAGGCAGGUCUCUGGGCCGAUACUGACGCUGAGGAGCGAAAGCGUGGGGAGCGAACAGG